ACAUCAAGUGAACAGUUUGCCAAUAUAGGUUCGGAUAUUAUGGCCCGAACGUUUCUACCGAACGCCCAGUUUCGACUAUUGGUUGAAAAUCGCAGUAU
Molecule: non-coding RNA, 98 nt
Filed under: Ruminococcus sp.
Lineage: Bacteria; Bacillati; Bacillota; Clostridia; Eubacteriales; Oscillospiraceae
Also listed under: 1 other name
Description: Guanine sequence
Rfam family: Purine riboswitch aptamer
About the family: Riboswitches are metabolite binding domains within certain messenger RNAs that serve as precision sensors for their corresponding targets. Allosteric rearrangement of mRNA structure is mediated by ligand binding, and this results in modulation of gene expression. A class of riboswitches that selectively recognises guanine and becomes saturated at concentrations as low as 5 nM.
Source: RNAcentral